UACCCUGUAGAUCCGGGCUUUUGUAGUUUAGUUCACAUCAGAAGCUCGUCUCUACAGGUAUCU
RNAcentral lists this precursor RNA (63 nucleotides) under Spodoptera frugiperda (fall armyworm). RNAcentral's name for it is "partial precursor microRNA 32". It matches the Rfam family "mir-10 microRNA precursor family", at positions 8 to 67 of the family's 74-position model. From Rfam's summary of the family: In this case the mature sequence comes from the 5' arm of the precursor. The extents of the hairpin precursors are not generally known and are estimated based on hairpin prediction. The products are thought to have regulatory roles through complementarity to mRNA. Lineage: Eukaryota; Metazoa; Arthropoda; Insecta; Lepidoptera; Noctuidae. The record is from RNAcentral.